This 250-nucleotide ribosomal RNA is filed under the name uncultured bacterium. Its description in RNAcentral is "partial 16S ribosomal RNA". It matches the Rfam family "Bacterial small subunit ribosomal RNA", at positions 524 to 773 of the family's 1533-position model. The record is from RNAcentral.
UACAUAGGGGGCAAGCGUUAUCCGGAAUUACUGGGUGUAAAGGGUGCGUAGGCGGUUAUGUAAGUCAGAUGUGAAAACCCUGAGCUUAACUUAGGGAAUGCAUUUGAAACUAUGUGACUAGAGUAUGGGAGAGGUAAGUGGAAUUCCUAGUGUAGCGGUAAAAUGCGUAGAUAUUAGGAAGAACACCAGUGGCGAAGGCGACUUACUGGACCAAAACUGACGCUGAGGCACGAAAGCGUGGGGAGCAAAC